RNAcentral lists this ribosomal RNA (577 nucleotides) under uncultured bacterium. Its description in RNAcentral is "partial 16S ribosomal RNA". It matches the Rfam family "Bacterial small subunit ribosomal RNA", at positions 355 to 924 of the family's 1533-position model. The record is from RNAcentral.
UGGGGAAUUUUGGACAAUGGGCGCAAGCCUGAUCCAGCCAUGCCGCGUGCGGGAAGAAGGCCUUCGGGUUGUAAACCGCUUUUGUCAGGGAAGAAAUCUUCUGAGUUAAUACCUCGGGAGGAUGACGGUACCUGAAGAAUAAGCACCGGCUAACUACGUGCCAGCAGCCGCGGUAAUACGUAGGGUGCAAGCGUUAAUCGGAAUUACUGGGCGUAAAGCGUGCGCAGGCGGUUUUGUAAGACAGAGGUGAAAUCCCCGGGCUCAACCUGGGAACUGCCUUUGUGACUGCAAGGCUUGAGUGCGGCAGAGGGGGGAUGGAAUUCCGCGUGUAGCAGUGAAAUGCGUAGAUAUGCGGAGGAACACCGAUGGCGAAGGCAAUCCCCUGGGCCUGCACUGACGCUCAUGCACGGAAGCGUGGGGAGCAAACAGGAUUAGAUACCCUGGUAGUCCACGCCCUAAACGAUGUCAACUGGUUGUUGGGAAGGUUCCUUCUCAGUAACGUAGCUAACGCGUGAAGUUGACCGCCUGGGGAGUACGGCCGCAAGGUUGAAACUUAAAUGAAUUGACGGGGUCAUAG